RNAcentral lists this long non-coding RNA (8213 nucleotides) under Trifolium pratense (red clover). RNAcentral's name for it is "long non-coding RNA (TPRA_LNC014433)". Lineage: Eukaryota; Viridiplantae; Streptophyta; Magnoliopsida; Fabales; Fabaceae. The record is from RNAcentral.
UCCAAAUCAAACACGACGUAAGUAAAAAUUAUUAAUAGCGUAGCUACAACAUCAUAACAUGCAAACUCCAUCCACCCUUUAAGGAAAGGUUUAUUAUUCAAAACAAACAAACACCUUAUUAUUAUAGCAUAAAAAACUGACACAGGGAAUUUAUUUUGAUAUAUAAACUAAAUAGUAGGGGGAAUGAGAUUUGUGUUUUCAGUUGUCUUAGAUAUGAAAAGCUUUUGAAACUCAGAAUCCACAUUGAAAGACACUUGUUGCACCGUAGGUGAUAAGGCUCCAAACACCGAUACCUUGCCAGCCAACUCUUCAAACACAGGUCUACAGCAAAUACAAUUACUCAUUAAUAUGUGCAUGUCUAACAGUAUAUAUAACCAAACCAACUAGUAAAAACUAAGUUUUAAGACUCAUAUACCACAAUCAACUUAAUAUAAUGAACCCCUGAAUCAUGAACCAUAUUAAUGACCUUAAUUUUAAAUGAAAAUGCCAGUGUCUAUAGAAUAAUAGUUAAAGAAAUGGAGAAUGUUAAUAUGUGUUUUUAUCAGUAUAUGUUAAGAAAAUAAAUAUAAUUUUUUCCCUGUAUAUUCAUCUCAUUUAGGGUUUGUUUGAUUUGCAAAACGUAAAUACUGAAUAAAGUAGUACAAGACAGAACAACACAGGACAAACACUUAAGGUUUUGAACAAAUUUGUGUUAUACGAUAUUUGGUAGAAAAAAAGGUUAUUCUGCUACUUUAGAAAAUUUGUGCAGAUGAUAAAAAAGUUGUAUCGUGGUUCAUUGGGAGACAAGAAUUUCACUUUUUGUCUUGUCACUUCACUUGACCCCUAGUUUGUCCAGUAUCAGGAACAAUUUUAAAAUCAAACAUAGUACCUUUGAAGUUGUCAUUUACGGUCUUUUAUUUUUUAGCGGAUCAAACGCACUAUUAAUUAGAAUAUGAUUCUUAACCUUUAUAGAAAGAAGGUGGGGUGGGAAAGUAGGUAGUAAAACUAAUAAUUAUGGUGAGUUGCAUCUUGUCAUUAAUUAAUAUAAUAAUUAAUCACGACGAAAAAAAUUAUAAAUUUAAUUUUCUAAAUAGUAAUUCUCGGACACUAGUUAAAUAUGACCCUUUUCUUAAAAAAGAAAAAUCAAUGUUCAUUUUUAAAGUUGGAACAACUUACUUAGUAGUUGUGACAAUAGAAAAACUCUCUAAUCCUUCUUCACCUGCAAUUUGAGCAACCACAAAAAAUUGUGGCACAACAAUCAAAUGACCAACCUUAACUUCACUAUCCAAGACACGUUUUCCAUUUAAUCCCACAAUUUCAAAUUUUCCACUUCCCUUAGCAAUGUAAAUUAACAGAAUCCCAGGAGUAACUAAGUUUGAUGGUGCCUUAAUAGCAUUAGGUUCAAGUUUAACUCUAAUCGCACUCAAACCAACAUCCUUAAUAAAAGGAAAAUCUACCUCCGUUAAGGUUGUUACUAAUCCUACAUUUUGGGCCUCGGUGUCCGGGACUUUAGCAUCAAUGUCAUAAACAAAGUCUUUAGUUAGGCCCAAUUGUGGCUUAGGCAUUAGUUGGUCUUUUUCUAUUUUGAUUAUCACAACAUCCUUUUGACUUUGUGUUAACUUAUUGACUUCAUCUUUAUUAAAAUUAUAUACUUUGCUUAUUAAAUCACUAGAGAAACUUCCUACAAGUCCUUGAACAUAUUGGUUUUGUAAUUCAAACUCAGAACAUGUUCAUCCUCUGAAGCUGUAGAGCCUCUGAAGUGCUUCAGCCUCUGAAGCAAAAUAUAACCUCUGAACCUCACAACCUCUGAAGCUGAUAUAAGUUCUGAAGCUCUGAAGCUCUGUUUUGGUUCUGAUACGCGUUUCUGUUUUACUUAGCUUUUUAGAGUUAGUUAGUUUUGUACAGUUAUAAUUCAGUUACGUUUUGUUUGUCCUAGGUAGUUAUGCAGUUACUUGCAUUUGAAGUAACCACCUAUUGUAUAUAAACAAUUAAGGCCCUUUGUGGAAGAAUAAGAUUUUUACUUUUCCUUUAUUCAAUUUCUGCUUAUCCUAAAAUUCAUUCUUCAUUCAUCUUUCACCCUUCAGUGCUCCUUGUUUUGGGUUAUCCCCAACAAAGUGGUAUCAGAGCUUUCACGAUCCUAGGGAUCUUGAUUCGGAUCUUUCACAAAGAAAGAGCAUCAAAGGUUGCAGUGAUUCAAUCAUGGCUGGGAAGAGUAAUUUCCAUGNNNNNNNNNNNNNNNNNNNNNNNNNNNNNNNNNNNNNNNNNNNNNNNNNNNNNNNNNNCAUCUCAUUUCUUAAGUUUCAAAACUAUCUCUUUUUUGGUGUUAGGGAGUAUCAUUCCAGCCACUCCGUCAGUUCCUACAUUUGAGAAAAAUCGCGAAAAUUUUUGAACGAAUAAUUUUAAAAAACAAAAACUUAAAUGCAUUUUUAGUAUUCUAUUUUUGUUGAUAACAAUUGAAACGUGACAUAGCCAAUAGAAUCAAUCCAAAAGAUCGUUAUUCACAAAAUAUAAAACUAAAUUUUUAUUCAUGAGAUCAGAUUAAUUAAAACGACGAUGAUUAAUUCUUUUACCUUCAAUAACAUAACCAACUUUGGAUGAAUCAGCAUAAUGAGGAAGAGCAAAUCCCCUUGGCUGAAGAACAAGCUGACCAGCACCAACAUUUGUCUUAGCCAAAAGUGGAACUUGAGAACUUAACCAAAUGUAAUACCCUCCACCAUUUCCCUCAAUCAAUGGUUGUGCUAUCUUUGGUGUUAGAUCAAACUCCAUUGAUUUCUUAUCUCUUUUGUUCAUGAAAAAUAAACCAUUUCAAUUAUAAAUUAGUGAUCCAUAUUACUUGGUUGAAAAAGUAAUGCUAAAUACACCACUCAAAAACACAUUAUAUAUGUAUUGUUUUUGUUUUGGUCUUAAUUCCCUCGAUUCUUGUUCUGGUAAUUUGCGAUGAGUAAAGUUUAACCAAUUAUUAUUCCAAUCCGGAUUUGAGUUUAUUUUUUUCGAACAAAUUUCUUUAAAUGUAUAGUUGAUCAACUCUUGAUUCGGAUUAUGUGCAGUCACAAUUUCCUAACUGUCUGAUCUUAGUCGGACAAUCUAAAAUUUUAUGAUCGAAACUUCACAUAUUAUAAAAUAAAAAUAUUAUUUUAUUAUGGACCGUCUGAUCAAGAUCAAACGGCCAAUAAUUCAUAACCGCACGACUGCAUGCAUUCAGUAUCACUGCACAAAAUAUAAAUGUCAAUUGUUGGUGUACUUCGGUGCUUGUGAUAAUUGAGACAUAUUAUUGAGUUUAUUUCUUUUUUUGUUAAAUCUUUUUUUAUUCAAAAUGUUUUGUUUGGACAUAUAUAGAAAGAACAAAUUCUUGGACUCAUUCAUAUUUCUAACUUUUCCAUUNNNNNNNNNNNNNNNNNNNNNNNNNNNNNNNNNNNNNNNNNNNNNNNNNNNNNNNNNNNNNNNUUUACAAAUUUUUCCUUUGUUUAUUUGUACAUCAAUAUGAAUGUAAAAGUUUGUACAUCAAUAUUUUUCUGAUAAAAAAAUAUUGAUGUACAAAUAAAGAAAUGAAAAGUUGAGAUAUUUGAUGAUAUUGCAAUUAAUUAUUUGCUAAUAAAAAAAAAAGGAAGGUGCAUAUCUUUAAAAGAUAUCUAGACAGCAUUUCAUAUCAAAUAAUGCAUCUAAAAAAUAUAAAAUAAUAGACAAUAUUUCAAAGUAUCAAAUAAAAGUCUUCAACUCAAAGUGGAAAUUAAAUCUCAACAAAAGAUUAGAGAAACCAUAAUUAUUAUCAAAUUUAUAAGUGAUGAACAUACCUGCAGCGAUCUUGGAAUUAAAGAAACUGAGAAAAAGCAAUGAACUUAGAUGCGUAAAUGUGCAAGCAAUGAACUUAGUGCAUAUAUUCAAAAUGGGUCAUUCUUUUUGGGACGGAGGGAGUAGAAUAUUGGGUUGGAAUCUAGAUGCGUAAAUGUGCAAGCUGAGAUGAAGACUUUGAGGGAUAUAAAUAGUGUUUUAAAUGGUUAAACAAGUUGUAAUGAAUACUGAUCUGCUGGGAAAACAAGUUGUAGUACUUUUUAUUUUUUGAUAUUAAAAUAAUAAUACUUUUUGGAUUAAAUAGAUAUUAAAAAAAGAUAGAUAAUAAUAUAUUAAAAGUUUGAGCAUGUUGAUAUGAUAAAAAAAAUAUUUGUCUGAUAAUUGUUAUUUUUCUCACCAACUUAUAACUUAUUUUUAUUAUAUAUUUAUAGUUUAAAGUUUAUAGUUUAUCAUUUUCUCCCUAAAUAAUAUCUUUUUUAAAAAAGUAAAAUAAAAUUAAAUAUAUUUUUUAUGUUAUUUUUUAUUUAUAAACUAGUAUAAUUAAGAAUAGAGUUAGGAAUUAAGUUUAGGAGGAUCAAAUUUUUUAAAAAAAUUGUAAAAGAAAUUAAAUUUUAAAAGUAUAACAUAUAAGAUAAAUCUAAAUUUAAUAUUGUGAAUCUGCAUUUUAAAGGCCACUUUUUUUAAGUUGAAAUUUUUGUCCUCUCUAUUAAUUUUCAAAUUUAUUGUAAUUUUAAUCUCAACUCAUGCAUUAUUUCAUAUAAGUUGCGAUUUUUUGUGUAAAAAAAAAAUGUGAAUUUAAGUUUCAAAGGAGAAGUUUUGUCAACAAAUCACCUUUUUGGUACAAAAUAAAUACCAUGUUUAUGGGAGAAAACAUUUGUUGAGAUCAAAUUAAAUAGAACCAAAAAGUUGAAUUAAAAAAGAUAUCAUUUUAGUGAGUUUAAUAAAGUAGGGACGAUCAAAAGUGCAAUUAAACCAAUAAUAUAAUAAUAUAGCGGUAUAAACAAAUUUAAAAAAAGUCUAGAGAGAUGUGGCUUCGCUCGGCUAGUCCCCUUCUAGUUUCGUCUUUGAGUAACUAUGAAUUUUAAUUUAUUCGACGCUUAAAAUUCAAUAAGUUGGUUUAUCCACUAUAUAAGCUAUAAUUUAUCAUAUAUCUAAUAUGUUUUGUCAAACAUAUCCUAAAUUUAUGAGAUACCGCUCAGAAUGAUACUCUUUCCAGUCUUAUUUAUAAACAAAAGUUACUUUUUAAAUUCAUUGAAUAAUUGAUGGAUCUAGACUAUAUCAAAAUCAGAUACAUUGGUUAUUCAAUGAAUAAAAUAACUUUUAUUAUAAAUAAGACCGGAGAAAAUACUUAGCAUUUUACAGACCUAAAUUUAAACUCAGAAUUUCCCACUUAUCCACGUAUUUGAUCACUAUGGAGAAAAAUAUAUAUAUUAAAUCUAUUUAUUAAUGUUCCAAAAUUGGAGUGUACCAAUAAAAUGAUUAAUUCCAAAAUUCGAGAUAGUUCUGAAUUUUUAUAUGACGUGUAUAACGUGGGUGCGCAAAACUCGUGGUGCAUUUCAAUAGUAUCAUACUAUCACAUACUCACCCAAAUAAUUGUAGAUUUGUAUUUUAUUGGAGAAAAUAGGACAUGCACUAUGAUUUAAUACCAACAAAUAUUUUACAAAUCACCUUACUACACUUUAUUCUAACGAUAUAAUGCGGAAUAAUAAUUGAAUUUUAUUGAAUAUUCGUGUGAAAAUAUUUGAUACUAAUAUAACAUGUGCAUUAAACUCUUUAUUCAAUGAAUUUAAUUUAGUAUUUAUAUAUAUUGUCGGUGUAAAUGUUUUUUUUACGUAUAAGUCUAAUAAUAUAUUGUGUUUAUAAAUACAUAGGGUGUGUUUGAUCUGCUAGAAAACAGGGGAUUGGAUUGAACAACUUUUGUUGUACUUUGUUUGAUUUGAAAUUGCUCAUGGGACUAGACAAAUUAGGUAGCAAGGGACAGGACAAAAACAACAAUUUUUGUCCCUCACCGAACCACAGUACAACUUUUUGUCCACAGUACAACUAUAAAAAAUAUGAAAAUACUCAUUUUAUUUUCGAAUAUAAAAAUAUUAUCAUCUUUUAUCUCUCCGGUAUAGUUUUGUCAUGUCCUGUAUUAUUUUGUUUUGUCAUGUACUGUUUUGUUCAGUCCUUAUUAUUUUACAAAUCAAAAGCACUCAUAAUGUGUUGUAUUAAUUAAAUGAUGUGACAACACAUCAUUGAAUGCAUGUGUAAAAUAAUUUAGACUAACGAUUGCAUAUAAAUAAAACUUUUAUUCAAUUCAAUUUGAACUAUACAUGCAAGGCUAGAUGUCAAUAAUUGAAUCCGGUAUGUAUGGGUGUGGGAUAUGGUCCAUUGGUCCCUAUAGCCUCUGAAAAACAAUGAAUUUCAUUAUUGACGGACCACUUCCACUUGUGAGAGUGGGAUAUGUAUAGUUUGGAAAUGGAUUCUUUAAAUUUAUUUUCAUCUAUGUUUUUUAUGUGACCUUAAUUUUAUUUUUAAUUUUUUUAUUUGAUAUUUCAUUUUUAUUUAAUGAUCUCUUUUGGGUCAAUGUAGAGAAUUCAUUUCUUUAUAGUUCCUUCCUAUUGGUCCUUAUAUAUUAAUUCCUGUUAUCCGAUAAUUAUGAUUGGUUCCGUAAAAAAAUUGAAAAUAGUUCUAACAAGGAUCCGAUCUUUUUCAGCGAUUGGCCGAUUCUAUGUAAUUUUUACACUCCUUCAGAUAACAACAGUAGUACAUAUUUAUGUGAAACGUUACUCAAAAUUUUAAUAUAAAACAUUUUUUAUAAGAGAAUCUCCAAUGAUAAUAACAUUUUGAGUAUCAUAUAUUACUAAUAAAUGGUUCAUACAAUAUCAUGUAAUGUAAUAUUUAUGUAACUCAUAUAUAUAUUUUGUUCCAAUUGUGAUACCACUCGAAAUAUUAUAUAUUAUUAAUAAGUGGUCUCUUUUAUAUUUAUUUUUUAACUGAAAUUAAUUAAUGAUAUUAAAUUGAUGACACAAAUAAGCUAGCUAUAGCUUAUUAUAGUACUCCUUCCAUACCAAGAUAUAAGCAAAUAUGACUUAAAGAAUUUUGAUAUAUUUGAUUAAAGAUUUGGAGCAAAUACAUUCAUUUUUAUUAACAAAUUUUUUCUUAUAUUUUGGGACGGAAGGAGUAGUUUAUAAGUUUGUUUGAUAAAAUUAAAGGUGUUUGGUAACAAUUUUUUUUUACUACUAGCUUAUAAUUUUUUUCAAAUGGUAACAAAUGUUAUAAUUUUACUUAUAGCGUUUUACCUUUAAUUCCAAUUUUAACCUUAUUAUUUUAAUUACUUUUUUUUUAAAUAAGAAAACAAUCCACUCACAUAAAUUAAUCAUUUACUUUUAUAUCAUUUUAUGAUUAUAAAAGCUAAAUUUUCCGAACACUUUAAUUUCAUUCUACUAAUUUUUCAACUAUCAGUUAAAAACCAAUUUUUCAACUAUAAAUUAGCUUAUAGCUUAAUUUUUACCAAAUAGAGCCAAUAUAUCAUUGAUGUUAAAACACUCACAUGUAUAACAGUACAAGCAUGUUCUUAAUGUUGUAGUGAAGUGGUAAAUAUGCUCCGAGACAUCAUGGGUGUGUGUCAGUGUGUGGAAUAUUCGAACUUAAACUAUCUCAUCAUUUAUUCUAUUAUUCGUGUGUGUGUGUGUGGUGGUGGUGGUGGUGGGCGAGGGUUGGUCUUGGUCAUAAGGACAAUAGCAAAAUAAAACACGCACAAAGAUACAUAUUGAAUAAUAGAGCAUUUAUUUAUUUUUUCUUAGUGAUACUAAUUAAGUAAAAAUUAUAAAUAGUGUAGCUACAACAUCAUAACAUGUAAACUCCAUCCACCUUUUAGUAAAGGUUUUAUUAUUCAAAACAAACAAACACCUUAUUAUUAUAGAAUAAAAAACUGACACAGGGAAUUUAUUUUGAUAUAUAAACAAAACAAGGCAAACUAAAUAGUAGGGGGAAUGAGAUUUGUGUUUUGAGUGGUCUUAGAUAUGAAAAGCUUUUGAAACUGAGAAUCCACAUUGAAAGACACUUGUUGCACCGUAGGUGAUAAGGCUCCCAACACCGAUACCUUGCCAGCCAACUCUUCAAACACAGGCCUACGUACAACAAAUACAAUUACUCAUUAAUAUGUGCAUGUCUAACAUUAUAACCAAACCAACUAGUAAAAACUAAGUUUAAGACUCAUAUACCACAACCAACUUAAUAUAAUGAACCAUAUUAAUGACCUUAAUUUUAAAUGAAAAUGCUAUUUAGUGUUAAAAGAAUACGGUACUAGUUAAGAAAACUAAAUGGAGAAUGUUAAUACGUGUGUUUAACGGUACAUGUUAAGAAAAUAAAUGUAUGCAAAAUAUAAACAAUGAACAAAAUAUUACAAGGACAGUACAAAACAUAACAUCACAGGAUAAACGCCCAAGGUUUUGAACAAA